Molecule: RNA transcript, 3621 nt
Organism: Larimichthys crocea (large yellow croaker)
Lineage: Eukaryota; Metazoa; Chordata; Actinopteri; Sciaenidae
Gene: slc35a2
Gene name: solute carrier family 35 member 2
Exons: 6
Source: RefSeq, a predicted model, not a curated record
AAUGUUUCUUUGAACUGUUUUGGUGUCCUGGUUUCUCUUCAGAGUGAUACAUCCUGUCAGUCUGUCCCAUCUUCGCCGAUGUAGUUCCUUCACUUCCGGGACACAUCAGCCUCCACGGUCUGUUUUCAUGCCGAUGUUUGCGGUGGUUCCCCCGCAGACUUCUCCACUCCGAGCCCGGUGAAGUGUCUGCCUCUCACUUCCACCCGAACCAGAAUCCAGAGCUCGGUGCCGGUCCGGUCCAGACUGUGACGGGGCUAGCUGAGAGGCUAGCGGAGCGUUAGCCGAGCAGACAGCGGGCAGAGGCAGCAGCAUGGCCGGGGGCAGCCACAGCCAGCCGCCCGAGGACAAGGCAGCCAGCCGGGGUCAGAGCGACGUCAACAGGAAGUUGAAGUACAUCAGUUUGGCGGUCCUGGUAGUCCAGAAUGCGUCGCUCAUCCUCAGCAUCCGAUACGUCCGCACGUUGCCGGGCGACCGCUUCUUCACGACGUCAGCCGUCGUCAUGGCAGAGAUCCUGAAGGUGCUGACGUGUCUGCUCAUCAUCCUGCUGCAGAAGAGAUUCAGUGUGAAGGACACCGUCGUCUUCCUCGUGGACGCCGUGGUCUUCCAGUACAAAGACACUCUGAAGCUCGCCGUCCCGUCGCUCAUCUACACUCUGCAGAACAACCUGCAGUACGUGGCCAUCUCCAACCUGCCGGCCGCCACCUUCCAGGUGACGUACCAGCUGAAGAUUCUGACCACGGCUCUGUUCAGCGUGUUGAUGUUGAGGAAGUCUCUGUCCAGAGUCCAGUGGGUCUCUCUGCUGCUGCUGUUCGCCGGCGUCGCCAUCGUACAGGUGCAGCAGGAGGGGAAGAAGGAGGCGUCCGUGUCGGACAGCUCCAAUCAGAACUACACGGUGGGUCUGGUUGCCGUGGUGAUCAGCUGCCUGUCGUCGGGCUUCGCCGGCGUUUACUUCGAGAAGAUCCUGAAGGGAAGCUCCGCCUCCGUCUGGGUGAGGAACGUGCAGCUGGGGAUCUUUGGCACAGCGCUCGGCAUGCUGGGAAUGUGGUGGAACGACGGCGCCGCCAUCGCCGAGCGCGGCUUCCUGUUCGGCUACACGGACAUGGUGUGGUGCGUCAUCUUCAACCAGGCGUUCGGCGGGCUGCUGGUCGCCGUGGUGGUGAAGUACGCCGACAACAUCCUGAAAGGCUUCGCCACCUCCUUCUCCAUCAUCGUCUCCACGGUGAUGUCCAUCUACCUGUUCGGUUUCCACGUCGACCUGCUCUUCACGGCGGGGGCGGGGCUCGUCAUCGGCGCCGUCUACAUGUACAGCCUUCCAAAAGCGGCCGGCGGCGCCGCGUCCCCGAGCUCCUCCACGUCUUCCUCGGCGUCUUCGGCGCCACCCCGGACGGACGGAGGCGCCAAGAUGGAGGCGUUUCUCCCAAAGUCAGUGCUGGUGAAGUGACUUCCUGUUUCUCUCUCUCUCUCUGGUGUCUCCUGGUGCUCACUUCCUGUCUGCUCAUGGCGAGGUCAAAGGUCACGCCGCUGCUCGCUCUCUGCAGAGCUCGCUCGCCCGAGGGUCGACCUCCUCUGCUGUUGACUCCUCCUCUCAUUUCCUCCUAACUCCUCCCACCUCACCCGGACUCCUGCCCUAUUGACCCCGCACUGACUCCUCCCCUCGCACUGACUCCUCCCCUCACACUGACUCCUCCCCUCUCCUCCCGCUGAGCUCCGCCUCCUGAAGACGGCGUCUCCUGAUGUUUUCAAACUUCUCUCUGCUCCUCCUCACAGACCUCGUGUCACCUCCUCCUGUGAUGGAGAGGAGGAGGGAGGAGCUCGCUAACAGACAGACUCCUGCUGCUCCUCCUCCUCCUCCUCUUCUUCUGCUGCUUCCUGCUCCUCUGCUCUAACUCUGCUUCUCCUGCUCGAGGAGGUGAGGAAGGUGGCAGCGCUCCUGACGUCUGCUGCUCCUCCCUUCUGUGAAGAGGUGCUGUGACUCCUCAUCACAGAGGAGCAGGAGGAGCAGGAGGAGCAGGAGCAGUCUGUCUGCUUCCUGUCUGUGGUGUCGCCUUCUGCCUUAAACUCUCACUGACUGAAGACGAGCGCUGCGUUUCUGUUUUCACGAGUCGGCGCCUGAUCAGAACCUGAAGUAUCGAUUAUCGAUCCAGACAUCAGAACCAGGACCGGUCCGGUCCGGUCACAGCUCGAGGUGACGACCUUCAUCAGGUCACAGCUUCGUUAAGAAGCUUCGUGAUGACGUCUCGGUCCUGCUCGGCCUCCGGUGUUCUGGCGGGUCAGUGACAGGAAGUAGAGACAGGAAGUGAUCGUCGAGCUGCACGGUGGAGCGAGCGCGGCUGCAGCUUCCUGUUGGCGGCCAUGUUGGCGUGCUCGUGCCUUCUCGCCGUGCAGACGCCGCGCGGCUGUCGUGUUGGCGCUCAGCUGUGCAGCUGUGUGUUCUGGUCUGAGGGACUCAAACGGCGCGUGGGGCGGGGCGGGGCGGGGCGGGGCGGGGCUUGCUCGUUGAUUGGAGCACCUUUAAUUAACGAGCGGUGAUAAUUAAAAUGCGUCUGCGGCGGCGUCAUGAAUGUUUCCUGUCACCGCGUUGGUUCGUCGGUCAGUUGCCUGACUGAAUGUUUCUGUUUGACUUCACAAGGAAAGUUUCAGGAGGAAAGUUUCUGUUUUUGUCUUCAGAUCGCUGCACGAGGAGACGAGCGGCUCGCCGUGUUAAGACGACCUCAUCAUCAGCUGAUCAAAUAUCUGUUUGUUUUUAUUUGAUGAUUUUUUCAUUCAGUUUCCUCGUGGUCGAGGCGGCGACACUUUCUUUGGUUUCUGAAUAAUUAAUAAAUGAAUUAAUAUAUGAGUUUUAUUUAAUGUGGGAUGAAGAGGAGGAGGAGGAGGCUCAGCAGGUCGCUUCAGCCAAUCAGAGCUGCCGUUCAGUGUCCAGGUGGAAAUAUUCUUUUGUAAGUUACCAUGGCGACGAUGACGAAGAGUUCAUCGCGUCAUUAUCUCAGUUUAACGAGACAAAAUUAUCUUUUCUCAGAAAAUUAUAAAAACAUUCAAAGUUUUCUGAACAUAAAAAAAUAAUUAUCUCGUUAUUUUGACAAGAUUGACGAGAUAAUUUCAUCGUCACUUUGUUUCCUGAUGAGUCGCCUUAACGAGACGAAACUUGAUUUCAGGUCAGAAUCAUCAGGAUUUAUUCAAAUGUUUGUUUUUGUCUCGUUAUCUCUGGAUAAUUAUUUUAUUAUUAACAGAUUAUUGGCCUGAAAAACAUUUUUUUUAAAACGCAGACGCUCUCGACUCUGAUUCAAAAUGUUUUUUUGUUUCAUUCAUCAAAAAGAGGCUGAUGUUCAUUUUAAAACAAAACAUUUCUGAUUUCUCCACAUUAACUCCGCCUGGAGCGCCACCUGCUGGAAGUUUAAAGAACAAUCCUGUAAAAGUCUUGAAGGACUUGCUGGAUCCUGGAGUCCAUCAGGAUCCUUGAGAAAUGUUCCAGGAUUGUUUAAACUUCCUCAUCCUGUCUGGACGUUUGUUUUUGGUUGCUGUUUGGUUUGUACUGUACGAUGCCUGUAAAUACUUCUUUUGGUAAACUUUUCUAUAAACACGGACAUGGACUGAAAACCUCUGGAGUCUGUCUUAAUUUGAAAA